GCCGCGGUGGCGGAAUGGCAGACGCAGUAGACUCAAAAUCUACCGUUCGUGAGGGCGUGGGGGUUCAAGUCCCCCCCGCGGCACCA
Molecule: transfer RNA, 86 nt
Filed under: Peptococcaceae bacterium
Lineage: Bacteria; Bacillati; Bacillota; Clostridia; Eubacteriales; Peptococcaceae
Description: tRNA-Leu
Rfam family: tRNA
About the family: Transfer RNA (tRNA) molecules are approximately 80 nucleotides in length. Their secondary structure includes four short double-helical elements and three loops (D, anti-codon, and T loops).
Source: RNAcentral